This 884-nucleotide ribosomal RNA is filed under the name uncultured bacterium. RNAcentral's name for it is "bacterial SSU rRNA". It matches the Rfam family "Bacterial small subunit ribosomal RNA", at positions 28 to 923 of the family's 1533-position model. The record is from RNAcentral.
GAUGAACGCUAGCGGCAGGCCUAAUACAUGCAAGUCGAACGGUUGUAGUGAUACAAUAGUGGCGCACGGGUGCGUAACACGUAUGCAACCUACCUUAUAGACGGGGAUAGCCUUUGGAAACGGAGAUUAAUACCCGAUAGUAACCUUGAUUGGCAUCAAUUAAUGUUUAAAGAUUUAUCGCUAUAAGCUGGGCAUGCGUCCAAUUAGUUAGUUGGUUAGGUAAUGGCUGACCAAGACGAUGAUUGGUAGGGGAACUGAGAGGUUAAUCCCCCACACUGGCACUGAGAUACGGGCCAGACUCCUACGGGAGGCAGCAGUAGGGAAUAUUGGGCAAUGGAGGCAACUCUGACCCAGCCAUGCCGCGUGCAGGAUGAAGGCGUUAUGCGUUGUAAACUGCUUUUAUAUAGGAAGAAAUAGACCUUGCGAGGUAAGUUGACGGUACUAUAUGAAUAAGCACCGGCUAACUCCGUGCCAGCAGCCGCGGUAAUACGGAGGGUGCAAGCGUUGUCCGGAUUUAUUGGGUUUAAAGGGUGCGUAGGCGGUUUAUUAAGUCAAUGGUGAAAGACGGUCGCUCAACGAUUGCAGUGCCAUUGAUACUGGUAGACUUGAGUGAGAUUGAGGUAGCUGGAAUGGAUAGUGUAGCGGUGAAAUGCAUAGAUAUUAUCCAGAACACCAAUUGCGUAGGCGAGUUACUAAGUCCUCACUGACGCUGAGGCACGAAGUGGUGGGUAUCAAAACAGGAUUAGAUACCCUGGUAGUCCACCACUGUAACGAUGAUACUACCUGUUGCUUUCCGGGUCAGUGGGUANNAAGAAUUCGUUAAGUUAUCCCACCUGGGGGAGUACGCCCGCCACGGUGAACCUCAAGGAAUUGACGGGGGUCCG